Molecule: ribosomal RNA, 441 nt
Filed under: uncultured bacterium
Lineage: Bacteria
Description: partial 16S ribosomal RNA
Rfam family: Bacterial small subunit ribosomal RNA
Source: RNAcentral
CCUACGGGUGGCAGCAGUGGGGAAUAUUGCACAAUGGGGGAAACCCUGAUGCAGCAACGCCGCGUGAGUGAGGAAGUAUUUCGGUAUGUAAAGCUCGAGCAGCAGGGAAGAGAAAAGAAGGGACCGGAAAAAGAAGCCCAGGCUAACUACGUGCCAGCAGCCGCGGUAAGACGUAGGGGGCAAGCGUUAGCCGGAUUUACUGGGUGUAAAGGGAGCGUAGACGGAAAGGCAAGUCAGAAGUGAAAACCCAAGGCUCAACCAUGGGACUGCUUUUGAAACUGUCAAACUAGAGUACGGGAGAGGUAAGAGGAAUUCCUAGUGUAGCGGUGAAAUGCGUAGAUAUUAGGAGGAACACCAGUGGCGAAGGCGUCUUACUAAACUGCCACUGACAUUGAUGCUCGAAAGUGUGGGUAUCAAACAGGAUUAGAUACCCUUGUAGUC